AGAAAGGAGGAAGAGGCAGGCACAAGACAAAAUGAAUCUCUCCGCUGUGCACAUGGAGCCUUAGCUCUGAUUCCAGUUGAGCAAAAUUAUGAAGAAGAUGAUUCCCCAUAUGGAUGACAGAUAAACACCCUGUGGCGAGUCACUCACUCCCGAAAGGCCCUCUGAAGGAUCGCGCAUGUCCUGACUGCACAGCCUGCUCCUGACAAUGCUCUCAAAGCCACGGUUGUAAUAGAAAUUGGAAAAUCAAAGCAGAUCCAUGUGGCCUCAGCAUAACGAAAACAAGAGAAUCCUGAGAUUGAGAAGAGGGAGAAUACUUUAAAGAGGAGCCCCUCCUACUACAGAAACCUCAGUGUAACAGCAGGAAUGACCCUGUGCCUCCAAACAUGUGGUUUAAGAGGCAGAUCUAACAUGACUCUUCAAAAACAAGCCCAGGGAAAAGAGAAGAUGACAACAUGUAACCAGCAGCCACCUUAGAAUGCAGGGGGCAGCUAUAGUGCCACCUCUGCAGGCGGAUUUACCAGUUUAAAUAGAUGGUUCUCAAAACUGCAGGCAACUUUGUCCCCAGAGGGACAUUCGGCAAAGUCUGGGACAUUUUUUGCUUGUCACAACGCAAGAGUUUCUUACUGGCAUCUAUUGGGUAGAGACCAUGGAUGCUGCUAAAAUUCUAACGGCUCACAGGACAAUCCCACAAGAAAUAAUUAUCUGGUCCACAAAACCAACAGUUUCAAGGCUGGGGAACUCUGAUGUGGAUAAAUCAGGCCUGGGUAGAUAGAAGGAAAGUACCUUGAGAAGAAACAUGUUUGGGUACCCAACUUUAAAGAGUUUGGUCUUAGGGACGUUUAUGUGCCAGCAAGGUAAAUUCCAUGGCCUGGCAUGUGUUGCAGCAACAACAGUAACACCACCACCUAUAUAGUAUUUACUAUGAGUCAGACAACAUUCUAAACCCCUUAUCUGUAACUCAUGCAAUCCUCAAGACAACCUACGUGAUAGGUACUAUUAUCACCCUCAUUUUACAGAUGAGGAAACUGAGGCACUGGACCUUGCCCAAGGUCCAGAAUUACUAAGCAGUAGAACUGAGGUAUUAACCAGGCAAUCUGGCUUCAGAGUCUGCUAUGGUUUCGCUGUGUCCCCAUCCAAAUCUCAUUCUAAAUUGUAGCUCUCGUAAUUCCCACAUGUCGUGGGAGGGACUCAGUGGGAGGUAACUGAAUCCUGGGGCAGUUUCCCCCGUACUAUUCUCGUGGUAGUGAAUUAAGUCUCACAAGAUCCGAUGGUUUUACAGAUGGGAUUUCCCCUCCACAAGCACUCUCUUGCCUGCCGCCAUGUAAGGCAUUCCUUCGCUCCUGCUUUGCCUUCCGCCAUGAUUGGGAGGCCUCCCCAACCAUGUGGAACUGUGAGUCAAUCAAACCUCUUUCCUUUAUAAAUUACCCAGUCUCCGGUAUGUCUUCAUUAGUAGCAUGAGAACAGACUAAUACAGAGUCCAGGUUCACAUGGUAGGCCCUUGAUACAUGUGUGAUGAGUUAAUGGGGAAAAAUAAAUGGACAUGGCUAUAAGCAAAAGCAUGCAUCAAAUGUAUAAAAAAAUACAAAGAGAAUACAAUUAGGAACAAAAGGACAUUGACUUCUGCUCUGUUUCUCCAAACUAACCAAGGAGUGUGCAUCCUUGGUAGGGAAGGAAGACAGCUGACAUGGGAAGGCUCCACUUGCCAAAUUCCUACAUCAUCAAAAAUCAGAUCACAUCAUCACUGGGAGGAAAAGAUAGACCACUAACAUACAAAGACAGUGCCCAGAAGACUGUGCUAUGAUUCAUUUUGCUCCCCAAAGACUAAGAUUUGUGGCCUAAGUGAUAAGUUAUUCUGUCUGUCAAAACUUUGUUUUAACUGUAAUGUGGCCUGGAAACAUAACAUAGUGGGAAUUUAGAAGUUAUUUAAAAAACACCUUUUUAUGGUUUGGGUUUUAUGUGUAUA
Long non-coding RNA from Homo sapiens (human), 1963 nucleotides. Ensembl annotates it as THSD4 antisense RNA 1. Its record names the gene THSD4-AS1. Lineage: Eukaryota; Metazoa; Chordata; Mammalia; Primates; Hominidae. The record is from Ensembl.